RNAcentral lists this long non-coding RNA (257 nucleotides) under Lathyrus oleraceus (garden pea). RNAcentral's name for it is "Pisum sativum (pea) long non-coding RNA (PSAT_LNC006189)". The record is from RNAcentral. Lineage: Eukaryota; Viridiplantae; Streptophyta; Magnoliopsida; Fabales; Fabaceae.
CUCCAACUCAAGCUCUCAUAUAUUAUCAAUAAGCUUUUCCAUGUCUUCUUGUAAUAUGGGCUUGGGUUCGGGUUCCAAUGAUGAAGGGUCAUAAAGGAAAGGCAUCUUGACAAUCCUAGCUCUUUCUUUUACCCAUACAAAGUAGGGCUCCUUGGCUAGGAUGUUCUUUUUGCCUCACUCUUGGUCGAUUUGGAUCAUGCUUGUCCAAGCUUUCUUCACUCUCUUCACGAAUGAAUUGAAUGGAUCCAUGGUGUUAA